AUCCCACGGACUCUUUUUGAUUUUUGCUUCUCCGACGACUGUACGUCUGAAAACAAUUCAUCGCUAAACACUGCCAGCUAUGAUGUACUAAGACACUAUGAGCACUAUGAAGGAGCUUCCCGUACAUCCAACCGGACCUUGCAGCUCUUGCAGCAGCAUUGAGAAGUUCAGGAGUCGACAGAGAAGAAAGAGGCUGAUUGAAGCGGGACAGAUGACAUGGAUCCAUCCUUCCACAGCCAGGAGCUCACCGACCUGUGUGCCACACUUCAAAUAAGACUAGAAGCUACACUGGAUCUCACAGCUAAACACCACAGACGUCUACACACUGGAGAAGAUUCAGAGUCCCGCAAAGAACUUAUGACCCAGAGGCUGCAAAGAGACAUUUCAAGCUUCACCUGAGUUUUUCACUGGAUAGGCCAGUUGUGUUUGUACAAUAUUUGUGCUGUAUGUAAAUAAAGUUUUGACUCAACA
This is a long non-coding RNA of Limanda limanda (common dab), 471 nucleotides long. RefSeq lists it as uncharacterized. The record is from RefSeq and is a predicted model, not a curated record. The transcript is spliced from 3 exons. Lineage: Eukaryota; Metazoa; Chordata; Actinopteri; Pleuronectiformes; Pleuronectidae.